This 253-nucleotide ribosomal RNA is filed under the name uncultured bacterium. Its description in RNAcentral is "partial 16S ribosomal RNA". It matches the Rfam family "Bacterial small subunit ribosomal RNA", at positions 524 to 776 of the family's 1533-position model. The record is from RNAcentral.
UACAGAGGGGGCAAGCGUUGUUCGGAAUUACUGGGCGUAAAGAGCUCGUAGGCGGUUUGUCGCGUCUGCUGUGAAAACUGGGGGCUCAACCCCCAGCCUGCAGUGGGUACGGGCAGACUAGAGUGCGGUAGGGGAGAUUGGAAUUCCUGGUGUAGCGGUGGAAUGCGCAGAUAUCAGGAGGAACACCGAUGGCGAAGGCAGAUCUCUGGGCCGUAACUGACGCUGAGGAGCGAAAGCAUGGGGAGCGAACAGG